UAUCUCGGCUGCAGCGCCAGAAGCCCCUCCGGGAGGCUGCGAGGGACUCUCGGUGGGUGGCGGUACAGCCGCCGCGGCCGCCAGUCUUCUGCUGUUGUUGCUGCUGCAGUCACGUGGGAGCCCCUUUAAGUUUCCAUAGAGAGGCCUCUCCGGUGUCACAUGAUGGACAUGAUAUAAUGAAACAACACUGUGGAGAGGAAAGCAUUAGGGGAGCCCACGGCUACAAAAACAAGUGAGUGAGAGGAGGUGGGAGGAAGAGAAACUACGCCACCUCCCCUGCGCCGAGCUGCUCGCAGCCGCCUGCGAUGGGGAGUGGGCGACGCUGGGGGCAGGGACAGGGGGUCUUCGCCCCUUGCUGAGGGACCCCGCCGCCAAUCGCAGAGAGGACAACUUUUAGCCGGCAGCCUCAGCGACCACUGCACCUGUCUCGAGUCUCCAUCGCUCCUAGUGACAAUCAAAGGGAAAUCCUAGAAGACUAUGCUCCACAAAUCAACAUGCGCAUCAUUUUCCCCCUGCGUCUCGCUCUGGAGGGAGGAAGGGGACCAGGACCCACGCAGCGUGCGUUCAGUCGGAAGGGUUAGAAAAAUUGGAAUAUUUUGCCAUCUGGAGUUUCUCUGCCUCGCUAAUCUAAGCUCCCACCUGCCAGUUCACGGAGAUGAUUGACAAGACCCAGGAAUGUCUGAGAGGUUACCAAAGAAUUUGAAGAAAUUGAGGCAGUGACAUGCCCAAGGCCACAAAAUGAAACAUUGCCAGAGUAGCUGGAUUUUGGAUCUGAUUUACUGGCUAUGUGGAACACUUAAUCCCUCUGAUUUCAGUUCCAACAGGUAUAAAAUGAGGAUAAUACUUGCUCUACCUAGGAUGUGAAGUUUUUAUGAGGAUCACACGAGAAAGUAAGUGAAAGAGCUUAUUAGUCAGCUAUAACGCAUUCUGUAAUUAUGAAGUAAUGGUGUUAAAAGUAAGUUACGCUUGAGGAUUUUGUGACAGUAUUUGGAAUAACUGGAGAAAAGGUAAAAUGUGACAGAAUCUGGGUUGAAAAUAAUUAUAAUACAUAAUCAUACUAAUAGAAUCUGCAAGAAUUUGCUUUUUUGCCUGUGUCAUGCUUUAUUAAUUACAUCACAGACAUUAUCAUAUUGGGGCCAUCAUAGAGUUUUGUAGUCAGGAACCGUGGCUGACGACCAACUAGGCAACCAGUUUAUGCCAUAGGAGCCUCAAAAUUACUGAACAUGUGGCUGUUUUGGUUGUUGUUAGAUGCCCUCGAGUUCGUUCUGACUCAUAGCAACCCUGUGUACAGCAGAAUGAAACACUGUCUGGUCCUGUGCCAUCCUCACAAUAGUUAGUUACUAUGUU
Molecule: long non-coding RNA, 1347 nt
Organism: Trichechus manatus latirostris (Florida manatee)
Lineage: Eukaryota; Metazoa; Chordata; Mammalia; Sirenia; Trichechidae
Exons: 3
Source: RefSeq, a predicted model, not a curated record